UACAAAAAAUAACUGCAUUUCAAUUUUAAAUGUAAGUUUUAAGAAAAGUUUAUACAUUUAAUUGGCUCUGAUCGAGGGCAAUAUUAGCCUGACGAAAUACUACCAAUUGGCACAAAAUGCCAAGCAAUUCCAAUGCGCAGGCCCAUAACAAAAGAGCUUAGAAUGAUGACUUUGGUGUUGUGCUUGAAGUUAGGGGUGGCUUUGCACUAAAAUCCAAGAAUAUAAAUAUACAUUUGCAUGUACUUAUGUGUGUAUCAAUGUUCAUGUUACAGCCACAGCAGACUGCAUGGCUACGGAUAAUAGUUGACACUCGAAACAUACUAUAAUAAUUAUAGAACAAAGAUAAGAGGGCUGCGAUUCCAUAAACUAAAUAGAACAUAUUGCGGUGUUUAUUUAGUUAAAUAAGUCAUUAAAAUCCUCAUACUGCGUUAUGGGGUUCGGGUCUAAACAAAAUUUUCCAUACAUGUUAAGGUACUAAAUUAUGAUUGUACGUGUUCUACACUUAAUAAUAAUAAACAGAAAAAAAAAGAAAUCAUUGAAUUCAUAUUUGCAAGUUUAAUAAAGUCUCGUCUGCUUAAAUAAUAA
Molecule: non-coding RNA, 585 nt
Organism: Drosophila virilis
Lineage: Eukaryota; Metazoa; Arthropoda; Insecta; Diptera; Drosophilidae
Source: RefSeq, a predicted model, not a curated record